Long non-coding RNA from Alligator sinensis (Chinese alligator), 744 nucleotides. RefSeq lists it as uncharacterized. The transcript is spliced from 4 exons. The record is from RefSeq and is a predicted model, not a curated record. Lineage: Eukaryota; Metazoa; Chordata; Crocodylia; Alligatoridae.
GUUACGUGUAGGGAGCCAGAGGAACAACAUCACUCAGCCUUCAGACUGCAGGUCCCAGAGCACCUGGAGUCAGGGAGAAGGGCAGGGCAUGUGUCCACAUGGGAGCAUAGAGAUAGCUGCAUACAGAGCUGGGGUUGCCCUGGGAGCUGCUGCCUGCCUCACCAUGACCAUCCUCCUCCUCCUGCAGAGGCACAAAGCAACCUCUGCCAGGACCCAAGAGCAACAGCUAAUGCAGGGGGAUGCCCAGGUGAGCAGCAAAAGAAGUGACAAUAUGCACUAUGCAGAACUCACACUGACAUCUCGGCAGGGUGCUGCACGUGCUCCAAUCUGGAACAAACCACAGGAAAACACAGAAUAUGCCCCUAUCCAGACCCGACCUCUUUAAAGAGCUGGUUCUGAGGGCAGUGUGAAGCCGGCAGAAACAAUGCUAAAUGACCAGGUGCUGUUAGCGACCCUCUCUCCUUUUUAAUGGUCUUGGUCUUCCACUAAUAAAGUCAACCUUUCUUCUUCAGUUCUCCUGCCUGUUAGCUGCUUCUCCUAACCUAGCUCUUAUCUCUCAGCUCUGCAGUCUGUUUUUAACUCUAGUUAGAAACUCAGGGGUAGAAACAUUAACUCAUAGAGAAGGCAGGCUGGAAGGGACCUGUAGAUCAGCUGUAGGAUCAGCCCUUCCCAAACCAUCCUAUAGACCCCAUAAUCUAAACUCUCCAUAAGACUACCAUCAACCCUGAUGCAACACAAGACGUC